Molecule: transfer RNA, 65 nt
Filed under: Marmota monax (woodchuck)
Lineage: Eukaryota; Metazoa; Chordata; Mammalia; Rodentia; Sciuridae
Description: tRNA.Ala
Rfam family: tRNA (bases 5-61)
About the family: Transfer RNA (tRNA) molecules are approximately 80 nucleotides in length. Their secondary structure includes four short double-helical elements and three loops (D, anti-codon, and T loops).
Source: RNAcentral
GAUGUAGCUCAGUGAUAGAGUGCUUGCCUAGCAUGUAUGAGGCCCUGGGUUCAAUCCCCAGUGCA